AUGAACGCUGGCGGCGUGCCUCAUACAUGCACGUCGAGCGAACAGACGAGGAGCUUGCUCCUCUGACGUUAGCGGCGGACGGGUGAGUAACACGUGGAUAACCUACCUAUAAGACUGGGAUAACUUCGGGAAACCGGAGCUAAUACCGGAUAAUAUAUUGAACCGCAUGGUUCAAUAGUGAAAGACGGUUUUGCUGUCACUUAUAGAUGGAUCCGCGCCGCAUUAGCUAGUUGGUAAGGUAACGGCUUACCAAGGCAACGAUGCGUAGCCGACCUGAGAGGGUGAUCGGCCACACUGGAACUGAGACACGGUCCAGACUCCUACGGGAGGCAGCAGUAGGGAAUCUUCCGCAAUGGGCGAAAGCCUGACGGAGCAACGCCGCGUGAGUGAUGAAGGUCUUCGGAUCGUAAAACCCUGUUAUUAGGGAAGAACAAAUGUGUAAGUAACUAUGCACGUCUUGACGGUACCUAAUCAGAAAGCCACGGCUAACUACGUG
Molecule: ribosomal RNA, 496 nt
Filed under: uncultured bacterium
Lineage: Bacteria
Description: partial 16S ribosomal RNA
Rfam family: Bacterial small subunit ribosomal RNA
Source: RNAcentral